UACCUGCAGCUCGAGUGGUAACCGCUAUUAUUGGGCCUAAAGCGUCCGUAGCCGGUUUGGUAAAUAUCUGGGUAAAUCGUGAGGCUUAACUUCACGAAUUUCGGAUAGACUGCCAGACUUGGGAUCGGGGGAGGUCAGAGGUACUCCAGGGGUAGCGGUGAAAUGUUGUAAUCCUUGGAGGACCACCGGUAGCGAAGGCGUCUGACUAGAACGAGUCCGACGGUGAGGGACGAGGCCCUGGGGCGCAAACCGGAUUAGAUACCCGGGUAGUCCAGGGUGUAAACGAUGUGGGCUUUGUAUUGGAGGUCCCACGUGGGCGUCCAGUGCAGAAGAGAAGUUGUUAAGCCCACCGCCUGGGAAGUACGGUCGCAAGGCUGAAACUUAAAGGAAUUGGCGGGGGAGCACAGCAACGGGAGGAGCGUGCGGUUU
This 429-nucleotide ribosomal RNA is filed under the name uncultured archaeon. RNAcentral describes it as "bacterial SSU rRNA". It matches the Rfam family "Archaeal small subunit ribosomal RNA", at positions 474 to 903 of the family's 1478-position model. The record is from RNAcentral.